Molecule: RNA transcript, 4518 nt
Organism: Pongo pygmaeus (Bornean orangutan)
Lineage: Eukaryota; Metazoa; Chordata; Mammalia; Primates; Hominidae
Gene name: HLA class II histocompatibility antigen, DP alpha 1 chain
Exons: 5
Source: RefSeq, a predicted model, not a curated record
CAGAGUCUCAUCUGCCUCCACCCGGCCUCAGUUCCUCAUCACUGUUUCUGUGCUCACAGUCAUCGAUUAUAGACCCCACAACAUGCGCCCUGAAGACAGAAUGUUCCAGACCAGAGGUGUGAUCUUGAGAGCCCUCUCCUUGGCUGUCCUGCUAAGUCUCCGAGGAGCUGGGGCCAUCAAGGCGGACCAUGUGUCCACUUUUGCCAUGUUUAUACAGACGCAUAGACCGACAGGGGAGUAUAUGUUUGAGUUUGAUGAGGAUGAGAUGUUCCAUGUGGAUCUGGACAAGAAGGAGACUGUCUGGCAUCUAGAGGAGUUUGGCCGAGCCUUUUCCUUGGAGGCUCAGGGCGGGCUGGCUAACAUUGCUGCAUUGAACGACCACUUGAAUGCCAUGAUCCAGCAUUCCAACCACACUCAGGCCGCCAAUGAUCCACCUGAGGUGACCGUGUUUCCCAAGGAGCCUGUGGAGCUGGGCCAGCCCAACACCCUCAUCUGCCACAUUGACAAGUUCUUCCCACCAGUGCUCAACGUCACAUGGCUGUGCAACGGGGAGCCGGUCACUGAGGGUGUCGCCGAGAGCCUCUUCCUGCCCAGAACAGGUUACAGCUUCCACAAGUUCCAUUACCUGACCUUUGUGCCCUCGGCCGAGGACGUCUAUGACUGCAGGGUGGAGCACUGGGGCUUGGACCAGCCACUCCUCAAGCACUGGGAGGCCCAAGAGCCAAUCCAGAUGCCUGAGACGACGGAGACUGUGCUCUGUGCCCUGGGCCUGGUGCUGGGCCUAGUGGGCAUCAUCAUGGGCACCAUCCUCAUCUUAAAGGCUAUGCGUUCUAGUCGUGACCCCCGCGCCCAGGGGACCCUGUGAAAUACUCUAAAGGUGGGAAUGUAAAGAGGAGGCCCUAGAAUCUGUAGAAUGUAAGGAAGGGAGGAAAAAUUCAAUCUGAUAAGUGUUCAUUGAUCUCCUAAUGCGUUAAAAGCAUUCAGCCACAUAACAACAACAACAUUGAUAACUAACUGAGUAGUUAAUAUGCUCAGGUGCUAUUCUAAGCAUUUACAUUUAUUAACUCACUUUUUUCUCACAAAUAGUCUUUGAGGUAGGUACUAUUAUUUUCACCAUUUCACAUGAGAGAUAAUUCUAUCUUUUUACAUACACAGAGAUCUGAAGCACCUUGAUCAAGUUCCCACAGCUAUGAAGUAGUAGGGCUAGCUUCCAAUCCAGAAAGUCUGGAUCCCAGACUGUUUAUCCACUGUCUUAUUCACCCUAUUUUGUGAAGGAAAAGACAAAGUUCAAAUUCUCCAAGAGUCCAUUGUCUAGUAAUGGAGCCAGAUCUAUAUUUGUAUACAUAAUUACAACACACUGUGGUGGGUGCCUGUACUAUUUACUGUCUUUACUUGGACUCAUUCCGUGGCAAUGCUCACACAAAAAAUGCCCUUCCUGAGAUUUUAUAUUUUCUAUUUAUUAUAACACUCACCAUAUUUUAUAUUUUUAUAUGUUUUGGGAAUUCUGUUAGCAUUAGAUAGUGAACUUCCAUGCAGAUGACCACAUCUAAUUCAUUAUUAUUAUUGUUAUUCAUUCUGGACCUCAGGUACAAAAGGUUAAGAACUUCUCAGUUCAUUAUACUAUCAUCAUUGGUGCCUCCGAACUCUCUCUCUCUCUCUCUCGAUUUGUUUGGUCCCUUUCAUCCCCAGUCCUUACUCCCAUAUCUAACCUCUUACUCUUACCUCAUUGGUAAACAUUUUAAUGAAUUUGAUGUUUCCUUUUAUUUGCAUAGAUCCUGUACAAUAUGCAGUAGUGUCCAGUGUACAUGUAUUUUUAAUUAACCAAAAUGGCAUUAAAUUAUAGAUCUAAUUUUGUACAUCCAUUUUGUUUCUUCCAAAUCCUCCAUAGUAUUAUACUCUAUACGUCCAUGCAUUAGUCCAUUUUGCAUUGCUAUAAAGGAAUAUCUGAAGUUACCUAAUUUAUGAAGAAAAGAGCUUUAAUUGGCUCACAGAUCUGCAGGCUGUAUGAGAAACAUGCCACUGGCAUCUGCUUCUGUUGGGGGAUUCAGGAAGCUUUUACCCAUGGUGGAAGGCAAAAGAAGCCGGUGCAUCACAUGGUCAGAGAGGGAGAAAGAGAGAGAGAAAGAGGUGCCAGGCUCUUCUUAACAACCAGGUUUCACGUACACUAAUAGAGUGAGAACUCACUCAUUACCCUGGGGAGGGCACCAAGCCAUUCGUAUGGGAGUCUCCCCCAUGAUUCAAAUACCUCCCACCAGGCCCCACCUGCAACAUUGGGGAUCAAUUUUCAACAUGAGACUUGGAAGUGACAAAUAUCCAAAUCAUAUCAAUCCACAUAUCUAUAUUGCUCCUGGGAUACCUGGAUCAUCCCUGGUUCGCUACUAUUGCAAGCGAUGAUUGUAUCUCACAUGGACCUGCGUAUGCAUGUAGACCUGACCUGCAUCCCUGAAAUGUAUGUAUCCUAGAAAGGGGUUGCAGGGUCUCUGGAGAUGCAGCUCCUUAAUUUGACUAAGUAUUGCUCAUCUGCUCAUCAGAAUGGCUGUACUUAUCUGUACUUCCUUUGUCAGUACCUGAAAUGUCCUGCAACUCCUAAAUGCACAUCAACACUGGACAUUAUCCAGUUUUCUAACUUUUGCCAAUUUCAUGUGCAUAAAGAAAUAUGCUGUUUUAUAAUUAUUUAUAAUUAUAAUUAUUUAUAAUUGGGGCUAUAAUUGGGACUGAUUAGCCACUUGGGGGUUCCUUUUCUAUAAAUUGCCUGUUCACAUUCUAUGCUCAUUUUUGUACUGUGGGCUUCUAUCUUUUUCUUAUAGAUUUGCAGGAGAUCCUUAUAUAGUCCUGCUAGUAGUCCCUUGUCAGUUUUAGGCAUUGCAACUGUUUUCCCCUAAUCUGACUUCUGGCAACUUUCUCCUUGGUUUCCUUUAUUGAAGAGAAAUCCUUAGUAUUUUGUAAUGAAGUCCAUCAACUGUUUUUUUGUUUGUGUGUGUUUUUUAAAAGAAGUCUUCCCUAUACUGAGAUAUCAAAGAUACUCUUAAAAUAUCUCCUAUAGUUUUAAAUUUCACAUUUACUACUUUAAUUCGUCUGGGAUUCACCUUUGUGUUUGAUGGGGAUCAUGUUUUAUUUUUCUCUAUAUAAAGAGCCAGUGUUCCCAGAACUACUAAAUAGUUCACCUUUCCCCCAUAUGUUUGUGGUGUCUCUUUGCUAUACUGAAAGCCCCCAUUACAGACGGGCCUGUGUCUGAGUUCCAUGUUGUUCCGCUGCUCUGUUUGUCUCUUCUUGUGCUGAAGGGGUGUCCUAGUGUUUUGAUUACUAUGACAUUGUAGUGUGUGUUAGUAUCCAGUAGGACAAAUUCUUUAUUUUUCUUUGUUCACACACAUUUAUAUCUAUAAUGAUUUAUAACAGAAUGAAGUGAAUGGAGAAUGUCAGAUGUUAAGAGGAAGUAUGGAAAGGAGGGCUGGGACUAGGGUGAUGUAAGAGAUGCACUUGACUUAGGUGCAAAAUUUGGGGGAUACCAAAAGAACUCAGUAAUAAAAGUAAAUCAUAUUUUAAUGAAAUAUCUUGAAAGAGCAAAAUUAAUGCAAAGAUACAUGAUUAACCAAAUAUCAAAACAGGAGUAUUUAAUGAAAAUGGAGGAGAAGCAGAGAGGCAGAAGAAUUAAGGCAAUGUGUUGUCGCAUAAGCCAAGGAAUUAAAGAAUUCCAGGAAAGAGGAAGUACUGCUGUCAGAUGUUCAACAGAGAUCGUUUUAGAGAAUUUACCUUGGCUUUGAAAUCCUUUCAAAGAGCAGUUUACACAAUGUGAGCAAGUAUCCUUCCUUCAUUGCCUUCAUUGAUAUGGUUUGGAUGUUUGUCCCUUCCAAGUCUCACUCCAGAGUUAAGCUUCUUCUCUGCCCUCAGUAAUGUGGCCCUUCUCCUUGUCAGGAUAUUUUAGAGACAUGAAGCUUAUGGGAUGCCCUCAAAGUCAGCUGGAGUUUGGUGGUGAAAUUCGAUGACUUUAGGGAACUCCUUCGCUCCUAUGUGCUGUUCACCUGGAGGACCAGGGCAUGUGCACAGAUGACCACCUUCUCCCUGGGACCUGAACAGGGCGGAGAAAUGGGAAGAUCAGAUACAAAGGGAGUGGAGAAGAUGGGUCUGGGCUUACAGUACUGAACCCAGGAAUGACAGUAACCAUGUGUGUUGCUGCAGGUGACAAAAUAUCUGAACAGAAGAGGACUUAGGAGAGAUCUGAACUCCAGCUGCUCUACAAACUACACCUCAGCUUUUCUUCUCACUUCAUGUGUUCACUACCCCAGUGGCUGACUGAAUUGCUGACCCUUCAAACUCUGUCCUUAUCUGUUACCUUAAAGCAGUCAUUCCUCAGUAAAGUUCCCAACAAAUAGAAGGUAAUGAAUAAAUGUCGACACUUUUGUAGCACUGAUAUGGAGAUUAUCCCUUCAUUGAGCCUUUUAUCCUCUGGUCUCCUUUGAAGAAACUUCACUGUCACCUUCCCAAGAAUACCCUAAGACCAAUAAAUACUUCAGUAUGUCA